AGUCAGUGGCCAUAAUACGAACGAACUGCCGCCCCAUGGCUUCCUCCUCUUCUUCCUCCCGUACCCUUUCGCCCUCCUCCCCCUGACCCGCCCCAACCCGCCCCGACCCGGCUGCCGCCCCGCCCCGUUCGGUCCGGCCGCCGUCCACUGCCCUCUCGCCGUCGCCGCCGUUCCCUGCUCAUCCUCGGCCGCGCCCCUCCAAAUCGCCGUCCCUCCUCGCUGCGUCAGCCGGCGCGCCCGGAUUUCCCGGGCACGGGUUCCGAGUGAACAGUCGGUACAGGGUAGAACUGCUUAAUAAUACACAUCAGUCUGAUUUUCAGGUUUUAAGCCUGGAAGAUUACCAAGACCCAAGGGAAGAGUUAAUGAAAAAGCAUUGUUGAUCCAUAAGCAAGGGAAUUGUGGUUGGCAUCAUGCCACAUAGAAAUAUGUGUUGGACACAUCAGGGUGAUAAUCUUGAAUCAGAGGAAGGACAAGCUCAGCCUGAAAAUUACAGUAAUGGUGGCACUGGGAGUAAUUUAUCCAAUCAGGGCGUGCAAGUUGCUCUUGGAGUUCCAGGAAAUACUACUAGUGAUGGAGUCCGUGACUCACGGGGUUACUAUGAGAGCAUUAAUAAUCAGCGCCAGCAUGCUCAGAAUUUAUACCCAUAUGGAGGCGUUGAUCCGAGUUUUGUCUACCCAUCGACUAUGUACAAUCCCGGAACUAGGGAUGAGAGUGGCAGCAGUAGCAGUUUUGGUGAUGCUGCCAGAGAAUCCAUGAAAAUGAGGAAUGCUGUAACCGAGAGUGGCCAUCAUUUUGAUCAUGGAUUUGCAAGCUCGAGUUCAUCUGCUCAUGUGCCUCAGAAUCCUGCACAAGGGACAUGGGGUGCUUCAUUUGAAUCACAUGGUGCACCAAAUGGCUCUUCUGCUGAUGGACCGAACAGGGCAACACCAAUGGCUACUCACCCAGCAUUGGCGCGUCAUGGUAACUAUGUAUUUCCAGCUGGUCACAUGGUCCAGGGCAAUGCAUGGACUACACACCCUGCAAAUAUUAUUGCUGACGGAGUCCCACACUGGGCAUACAACAAUGCACUCCACAAUCCUUCAGGUCAGUUUGCUCAUCCAGGAACAAUGGGCAUGCCAAAUGGUAGUCUUCAAGACUAUCAAGCUGGCCCUUCUGCUACUUUUCAUGGGCCUUUACCUCAUUUCAACCAGAUUCCUGUGCAUAGCACGCAAACUCCUGCUAUGCUUAAUCAUAUUCAGAUGCAAGGGCCUCAGCGUCAGAGCAAUGUAGUGCAAGGUGCUAACCCUUCUGGAAUGGUGCAAGGUGCAAACCCUUCUGGAAUGGUGCAAGGUGCAAACCCUUCUGGAAUGGUGCAAGGUCCAAAUCCUGCUGGAAUGGUGCAAGAUCAAGUUUACAAUGGGAGUCUAAGACUUCUUCAGCAAGCUGCUAUGGCGACUAUGUCAACAUUUUAUGAUGCAAUACAUCUUAUUGACGAACAAUGGGAUAUGGGGCUAGAUAUAGACAGCAUGACCUAUGAGGACCUUCUAGCAUUGCAAGAACAGAUUGGAGAUGUCAAUACCGGUUUGCCAGAAAGGUACAUCCAUCAAAAUCUGAGGGUACAUCAGUAUGUUGUUCCCAGGGCAGCUCGCGGGUCCGAUCAGUCUGUGGAGAAGGAUGCUUGCAUCAUAUGCCAGGAGGAGUUUGAGGCGAGAGACCUUGUAGGAACCCUCGACUGCGGUCACAAGUACCAUGAGGCGUGCAUCAAGCAGUGGCUGAUGGUGAAGAACUUGUGCCCCAUCUGCAAGGCAACAGCUUUGCCAGCAGAGUGAAGCAGCGGGUGACCGGCGCCAAUAAACCAUUUGCCGCAGCAGUGACUGAGAUUCAGCUCAGUUUCUUGUACAUAAGAGAUGUUGGAUGAUUGUGUUAUUUACCUGUAAUUUCCUGUUCGGUUUGUUGUGGACAUAGCCUGCCCCAAAACUGUAUAGCCAGAGAAUGGUUUCAUUUCCUAGACUGCUCUUAGACCCCCCCAUGGUGCCUGAACUUCUCUCAUCAUGGUUUUCCUAUUGCCCGUUUUAUCUAUUUGUACAUUGUAAUUAGACCUAUAUAUUUCCCUUUGCCAAAAAUCAGAAUUGAGAACUCAAAUGGUUCUUUCUUCUGGAUGUUCUAUAUGGUUUUCUUUCCGUUU
RNAcentral lists this ribosomal RNA (2164 nucleotides) under Triticum aestivum (bread wheat). RNAcentral's name for it is "partial small subunit ribosomal RNA". The record is from RNAcentral. Lineage: Eukaryota; Viridiplantae; Streptophyta; Magnoliopsida; Poales; Poaceae.